CCCUACUCGGUUACCCGGUUCCCCUAAACCCAGCACGCACAACCGCGCUUAGUACUACAACAACAGCAGCUGCAAACUGAAGGUAGAAAACGAAAAGGGGAAAAGGGAGAAGGAGAUCUGGAGGAAGAAGGGCACCGGGCAGGGAGCAGCUCGCCGGCCAGCCAUGCCCGGUUACCGCGUCCACGCCACGUCGCCGCCACUAUUCACACCACGCCGCCGUCAUCCUUGCAAUCACGAAGAGGGAGACUAAAGGGAGGAACUGGCACGCACGGGAGAGGAAAAAACCGCCUCUACGCUGCCGUCGUCCACAAGCUCAGCCACAUCGCCAUGGUCGCCGCCAAGGGUUCCGUCACAGUCAACCCGUCGCGGUUGGUGCUACUGCCGUCCCUGAUGGAUUUCACCGUGGAGAAGAGAACGACGUAGGGGAGAGGGGCCGCGCCGCUGCUGCCGCCGGGAACCGCCACUGAAGCCUGUGUAACCGUCAUCCUUACCAGCAGCGAGAGAGAAGCAAGAUGGAUCCCUCUGUUCCUGUUGUUCUGAUCCGCUGAGAAAGGGAAGGUGCCGCUAUUGUGCUUCACGCGUCGCCGACGAGCAUGGAGGAGAGGAGCUGUGUCCGCGUCACUGCCGUUUGAGGGGCUGUGCUUGGCCGUCGUUGCGCUGCCCUGCUUCACCGUGGCUGAGCUCUGCCACUCCCUGCUCUUUGGGCUUGUGAUGCUGAUGCGGGGAUCACUACAGGAAGAGGAGCAGGCUGAGUCACCGUGAUUUGGGCCGCCAAGGAUGGUUCUGUGAUUUCCGGGACCACCGCCGGAGCUUCUGGCUACUUCAGCCGUAGCCGAAAAACUCUACCGUUUCAGUUAUCGUCGCCGGAGAUCUGGCCGCCGCCGCCGCUCGAGGUGGUUACCGGGGUUGCCGCCAAGCCGGUUCAAUGAACGGUUCUAUUUUGUUUUCUUCAUUCGUGUUGCUAUGGUUAUUGCGAAAGUGGCUUGGAGCCGAGGUUUUGGUUGCCGGUGAUUUCGAGUUGAGGCGAAAAGGACUCAGUGAGGCGUUUGGGCUAUGGUUUUGCGUUUUGAAAUAGGGGCUUUUUUUUACAAACUGAUUCAUUUUAAAUUGGAAAUUGUUAUAAAUAGAUAUGCUGUACGAAAUGCAUUUCUGGUGGUUAUACAAGUCUUAUGAAUUGUCUGAUUUUGUCUUGAAUGAAUAUGGUUGCCUAUUUGAUUUAAAUAAUAUCUACUUUUGAUAAAUUGGAGAUUUCUGGAUUGGUUGAGUUGAAAUGAUUUUUGAUAAUCUGAAAGUUUGAGUUUUGUUUCAUCGGAAACUGAUUUGGUCUUGAGCCUGUUGGAAAGAGUUGAGGAUUGGUUUGGUUGGGACCCGGAAAUGGUGGCAAAGUCAAAGUUUUAGUUUUAGAGGAGAUGCUGUCGAAAUUUCUAUAAAAUCUGAGACUAUUUAAAACGGUAUUUUAAAAAAGAAUGGAUUAUGCCUUGAACUGUAUUAUCGGUAAAUGAAUUAGUCUUGAACCCCUUUAUUAAGAAAGUUAUUAUAUUUUGAAUGUAAACUAUUUUAGAAAAGAACCAUGUUCUAAAGUCAAUUUAAAGAUGAAAACAAUCAAGUUUGGAAUUUGAUCAAAUAAGCAAAUUUGAAGGAGUUUUAAUGGAGUCGAUUAACUAAUUUCACUUUACAAUAUUUUAAGAAAAGGUUGAAGUAUUUUCUGAAACUUUGAUUUAGUGGAACUGAAACACUUUCCGAGCCUUUGAAAACCGAUUUAAGAAUGAAACUAAAAAUUGGUGUUUGGUUUAAAUAUUUUGGUUUUGGUUAAGUUAGUGGUUUUGAAAUUGGUUCGGAAUUUGGAUACAUGACUUGGUUUUGGUUUAAAUUCUACAUUUAAUUAUUCAGAUCAAGAAGUUAAGGUUUCGGAGGUUUUCAAUGAAUUUAAGAAAUGAGCUAGGUUAUUCGCUCCUGAAGUCUUGAGACUUAGCUUAGGAAUUUUACGACCAAAUCUUGAUUUAGAAAUGAAUAAUUUUGAGUCUUUCAAAGAGAUUUUGAAUUUGGCAUGGUUUUGUGAUUGUUUGGAAGUGUUGGAAAGAUGUGGAGAGUGGCUCCGUUUUGAAAAGUAAUUCUUGACAAGAUGUGAAUUGAAUACGUUUGUUAUUUGAAAGAAAAUGGGCCAAGAGUGAAUUUGAAAUAAGUUAUUGAGCCGGAUUGAUUAUGGAUUUCCUCAAGAUUGAUGAGUUAUGGUUUGGUAGGCAUAAGGGUUGGGUUCGUCCCGCUUAUGCUGAGAGGAGAUUGUUGAUAAGUCACUGGCACCGGGCAAGGACGGAGGUUUGAUCCCGCUUACGGUGGAGGCAAGGACGGUGGUUUGAUCUCGCUUGCGUGUUCCGGGCAAGGGCGGAGGUUUAAUCCUGCUUUUCUGUGGGACCUACGGGUAAGGACGGUGGUUGGAUCUCGCUUAUCCGAGUCGGGUUUGGCAACGUAACCGACGCGUGAGCUCAUGGUCAGUAGGACAGACAUGCAUCAUAUGCAUUUAUGUGACAUUGAUUGGGUGUGCAUAUUGUAAUUGGUUUACUUAUGUGAAUACUUAUGUUAACUGCUAACUGUUAUAAUUGUUGUAAUUGUUAUUGAUUUUGUUUGAACUACAUUAAUUGUGAUUGUGUUUGAUUGGUUGGGUUGCGUUGAAUUGGUUGAUGAUUGAGUUGUUUGGGCCGGGGGCCGUGUUGGAUUGGAUGGGCUUGAUGCCGAGAUUGGUAUAUUGAGUUCUAGUUUUGUAUAAAGUAUCUGACCGGUUCAGCAUAGACUUAAUGAACCUAUGCUUGGAACUGGAUGGUCAUUUAUACCGCGUAGGUAACUGUUUCAUGGUUGCGGUUUAGAAAAGUAUGAAAAAUCAAACUCUUACAGCAUAGACUUAAUUAAACCUAUGUUUGGGACAUGUUGGUCAUUCAUACUGUCUAGGAAAAACAUUUCAGAUUUUACACGAACGGAAAAAAAAAGUUUUAUUUUAAAAUAUUUGAGAAAUUUAUCAAGUCUUCUAAAGGUGAUUUUCUGGAUUUCGAAUGUGUACCCAAGGUUUUUGGAAAGACUCAUAAGACGAGCAAUAAUCACUGUACUCUAAGAUUAAAUUUUUAUUUUACGUAUCUUGUUAUAACAAUUUCUGUAAUCCUAUAGUAAGAACAAGCGAGUACGACGUUCUCACUCCCCUACAGGUUAUUCUCUUUCAGAAUAUGGACGACGAAGCUUUAGAAGAGUUAUGUUUAUUUCCUGUUUAUUCGAUAUUUUUGUAUUGUCUUAGCUAUUAUUUUUCCCUCGCCUUUAUUUUUAUUAAGUUUGUAAGAGGGAUAGGAACUUAUGAUAUAUAUGUUUGUAAGCUAGUGUUAUGUAUAUAUAAAUAUAUCUUAAGGUAUUAU
Molecule: long non-coding RNA, 3395 nt
Organism: Arachis stenosperma
Lineage: Eukaryota; Viridiplantae; Streptophyta; Magnoliopsida; Fabales; Fabaceae
Exons: 3
Source: RefSeq, a predicted model, not a curated record